Molecule: ribosomal RNA, 253 nt
Filed under: uncultured bacterium
Lineage: Bacteria
Description: partial 16S ribosomal RNA
Rfam family: Bacterial small subunit ribosomal RNA
Source: RNAcentral
UACGUAGGCAGCAAGCGUUGUUCGGAAUUACUGGGCGUAAAGAGCGUGUAGGCGGUUAGGUAGGUCCGUUGUGAAAACUCGAGGCUCAACCUCGAGACGCCGAUGGAAACCCCCUAACUAGAGUCCGGAAGAGGAGAGUGGAAUUCCUGGUGUAGCGGUGAAAUGCGCAGAUAUCAGGAAGAACACCCGUGGCUAAGGCGGCUCUCUAGUACGGUACUGACGCUGAGACGCGAAAGCGUGGGGAGCGAACAGG